AGCAGAUAGCUAGCAUGAUUUUCACAGAAUUUAAACCAAAAAUUUUCGUCUAAACCAACAACAUGCUCUAGAAAGCAAACACUGAUCAAUAGGUAAAUAAGCAGCCGUAAAAGGACAAAACAACAUACAGACAGAAAUUUAGAAGUAAUACCUGCCAGAGAGUGAAGGUGAGUUAGCAGAAGUUCGACCACUAGCGUAGCUUAUCUGGUUCAACUCGUAUCCCUAAGCUCACGAGUCCACGGCUCAGCAAAUUGGCGGCCAUACAAUACACACUUAAUCUUCUCAAAAGAACUUUUUAAGACGGCAGAGUCUCGUGCUGAUAACGUGUUAUAAAACAAUAAAAGAACAAGAGCAAUAUUACAGAGAAA
RNAcentral lists this long non-coding RNA (368 nucleotides) under Nicotiana benthamiana. RNAcentral's name for it is "long non-coding RNA (NBEN_LNC012889)". The record is from RNAcentral. Lineage: Eukaryota; Viridiplantae; Streptophyta; Magnoliopsida; Solanales; Solanaceae.